This 375-nucleotide ribosomal RNA is filed under the name uncultured Spirochaeta sp. Its description in RNAcentral is "bacterial SSU rRNA". It matches the Rfam family "Bacterial small subunit ribosomal RNA", at positions 1004 to 1382 of the family's 1533-position model. Lineage: Bacteria; Pseudomonadati; Spirochaetota; Spirochaetia; Spirochaetales; Spirochaetaceae. The record is from RNAcentral.
AGAUACAGCAGCCGCUUGCGGUCUGUAUACAGGUGCUGCAUGGCUGUCGUCAGCUCGUGCUGUGAAGUGUUGGGCUAAGUCCCGCAACGAGCGCAACCCUAUCAUCUGUUGCCAGCAUUUAAGGUGGGGACUCAGAUGAGACUGCCGGUGACAAACCGGAGGAAGGUGGGGACGACGUCAAGUCAUCAUGGCCCUUAUGUCCUGGGCUACACACGUGCUACAAUGGCCGGUACAGAGUGAAGCGAAACCGCGAGGUGAAGCAAAACGCAGAAAGCCGGUCUCAGUACGGAUUGGAGUCUGAAACUCGACUUCAUGAAGUUGGAAUCGCUAGUAAUCGCGCAUCAGCAUGGCGCGGUGAAUACGUUCCCGGGCCUU